GUGGGGAAUAUUGGACAAUGGGCGCAAGCCUGAUCCAGCCAUGCCGCGUGAGUGAUGAAGGCCUUAGGGUUGUAAAGCUCUUUCAGUGGGGACGAUAAUGACGGUACCCACAGAAGAAGCCCCGGCUAACUUCGUGCCAGCAGCCGCGGUAAUACGAAGGGGGCUAGCGUUGUUCGGAUUUACUGGGCGUAAAGCGCACGUAGGCGGAUCGUUAAGUCGGGGGUGAAAUACUGGAGCUCAACUCCAGAACUGCCUUCGAUACUGGCGAUCUUGAGUCCGGAAGAGGUGAGUGGAACUCCUAGUGUAGAGGUGGAAUUCGUAGAUAUUAGGAAGAACACCAGUGGCGAAGGCGGCUCACUGGUCCGGUACUGACGCUGAGGUGCGAAAGCGUGGGGAGCAAACAGGAUUAGAAACCCCGGUAGUCC
Molecule: ribosomal RNA, 425 nt
Filed under: uncultured bacterium
Lineage: Bacteria
Description: partial 16S ribosomal RNA
Rfam family: Bacterial small subunit ribosomal RNA
Source: RNAcentral